CCUACGGGAGGCAGCAGUGAGGAAUAUUGGUCAAUGGGCGAGAGCCUGAACCAGCCAAGUCGCGUGAGGGAAGACGGUCCUAUGGAUUGUAAACCUCUUUUGCCGGGGAGCAAAAAGCGGUACGCGUACCGCAUCGAGAGUACCCGGAGAAAAAGCAUCGGCUAACUCCGUGCCAGAAGCAGCGGUAAUACGGAGGAUGCGAGCGUUAUCCGGAUUUAUUGGGGUAAAAGGGUGCGCAGGCGGCGAGUUAAGUCAGUGGGAAAAUUUCGGGGCUAAACCCCGACAAGCCGUUGAAACUGGCUUGCUAGAGUGAGCGAGAAGUAUGCGGAAUGCGUGGUGUAGCGGUGAAAUGCAUAGA
Molecule: ribosomal RNA, 358 nt
Filed under: uncultured bacterium
Lineage: Bacteria
Description: partial 16S ribosomal RNA
Rfam family: Bacterial small subunit ribosomal RNA
Source: RNAcentral